Molecule: non-coding RNA, 94 nt
Organism: Paramarasmius palmivorus
Lineage: Eukaryota; Fungi; Basidiomycota; Agaricomycetes; Agaricales; Marasmiaceae
Source: the annotation of a GenBank genome assembly
GCAUUAAUGGGGUAGUGGUAACCUGGGUCGUUGCCAUUCUCCGUGAAUCGUUGAUAGCUUCGACCCGCCGGGGGUUCGAUUCCCUCUUAAUGCA